This 480-nucleotide long non-coding RNA is filed under the name Panax ginseng (ginseng). RNAcentral describes it as "long non-coding RNA (PGIN_LNC003678)". Lineage: Eukaryota; Viridiplantae; Streptophyta; Magnoliopsida; Apiales; Araliaceae. The record is from RNAcentral.
GACAACAUGUAGGACUACAACUCUAACACUUAACAUCAUCAUAAAAACAAGAAAUCAAGCAUCUAAAGUAUGGUCAAACCUUGUCAGAAAAAUUAACACUUAGAAAAUUCUGGGCUGCCCAGAAUUUUCUGGUCAAUGCCGGUCAACCCACUUUGACCUUAAAUAACUCUUAAUCCGUAAUAUAUAUGGACCUGAUUCUUUUUGGAGGUUAAAUACCACAUAACAAGCUACACAUAUCAACCUUUAGAACACAAAACACAUUAAAGAUAACCGAGAUAUAAGGCCUGACAUUUUCCAAAAUAAUAUUUUCUGGACACUUAGAAUAUUUUCUGGGUUUGAAAAACAGCCGGUCAAUGCCGGUCAACCCACUUUGACCGCUUAUAAAUCCCGAUCUACAAUAGAUAUAGACCUGAUUCCUUUUGGAGUUUAAAGACCACAUAACAAGCUACACCUAACAACUUUUAAACAACAAAAACAGUA